This 488-nucleotide ribosomal RNA is filed under the name uncultured bacterium. RNAcentral's name for it is "partial 16S ribosomal RNA". It matches the Rfam family "Bacterial small subunit ribosomal RNA", at positions 28 to 507 of the family's 1533-position model. The record is from RNAcentral.
GAUGAACGCUAGCGGCAGGCUUAACACAUGCAAGUCGAGGGGCAGCAUAAUGGAUAGCAAUAUCUAUGGUGGCGACCGGCGCACGGGUGCGUAACGCGUAUGCAACCUACCUUUAACAGGGGGAUAACACUGAGAAAUUGGUACUAAUACCCCAUAAUAUCAUAGAAGGCAUCUUUUAUGGUUGAAAAUUCCGAUGGUUAGAGAUGGGCAUGCGUUGUAUUAGCUAGUUGGUGGGGUAACGGCUCACCAAGGCGACGAUACAUAGGGGGACUGAGAGGUUAACCCCCCACACUGGUACUGAGACACGGACCAGACUCCUAAGGGAGGCAGCAGUGAGGAAUAUUGGUCAAUGGACGCAAGUCUGAAACAGCCAUGCCGCGUGCAGGAUGGCGGCUCUAUGAGUUGUAAACUGCUUUUGUACGAGGGUAAACGAAGAUACGUGUAUCUGUCUGAAAGUAUCGUACUAAUAAGGAUCGGCUAACUCCGUG